UGCUAUACUGCAGUCGAACGCUUUUUCUUUCACCGGAGCUUGCUCCACCGAAAGAAAAAGAGUGGCGAACGGGUGAGUAACACGUGGGUAACCUGCCCAUCAGAAGGGGAUAACACUUGGAAACAGGUGCUAAUACCGUAUAACACUAUUUUCCGCAUGGAAGAAAGUUGAAAGGCGCUUUUGCGUCACUGAUGGAUGGACCCGCGGUGCAUUAGCUAGUUGGUGAGGUAACGGCUCACCAAGGCCACGAUGCAUAGCCGACCUGAGAGGGUGAUCGGCCACACUGGGACUGAGACACGGCCCAGACUCCUACGGGAGGCAGCAGUAGGGAAUCUUCGGCAAUGGACGAAAGUCUGACCGAGCAACGCCGCGUGAGUGAAGAAGGUUUUCGGAUCGUAAAACUCUGUUGUUAGAGAAGAACAAGGAUGAGAGUAGAACGUUCAUCCCUUGACGGUAUCUAACCAGAAAGCCACGGCUAACUACGUGCCAGCAGCCGCGGUAAUACGUAGGUGGCAAGCGUUGUCCGGAUUUAUUGGGCGUAAAGCGAGCGCAGGCGGUUUCUUAAGUCUGAUGUGAAAGCCCCCGGCUCAACCGGGGAGGGUCAUUGGAAACUGGGAGACUUGAGUGCAGAAGAGGAGAGUGGAAUUCCAUGUGUAGCGGUGAAAUGCGUAGAUAUAUGGAGGAACACCAGUGGCGAAGGCGGCUCUCUGGUCUGUAACUGACGCUGAGGCUCGAAAGCGUGGGGAGCGAACAGGAUUAGAUACCCUGGUAGUCCACGCCGUAAACGAUGAGUGCUAAGUGUUGGAGGGUUUCCGCCCUUCAGUGCUGCAGCAAACGCAUUAAGCACUCCGCCUGGGGAGUACGACCGCAAGGUUGAAACUCAAAGGAAUUGACGGGGGCCCGCACAAGCGGUGGAGCAU
This 920-nucleotide ribosomal RNA is filed under the name Enterococcus sp. H299. RNAcentral's name for it is "bacterial SSU rRNA". It matches the Rfam family "Bacterial small subunit ribosomal RNA", at positions 45 to 940 of the family's 1533-position model. Lineage: Bacteria; Bacillati; Bacillota; Bacilli; Lactobacillales; Enterococcaceae. The record is from RNAcentral.